CACCGCGUGUCUGCGCGCCGCUCCGCCAGCGCGGUGACCGCAGCAAGCGCACUCGCUGCCGGCUUCGGACGGGAAUUCAUCCACUCGAGGCCGGAUAAAUAAUGCGGCGGGGUUCGCGCAGCCCCGCGUGAAGCGGCGAUGCGCGGGGCGGCGGCCGGGGCCGGGCGCUGAGCUGCGGGCAGCGCCCAGCCGGGAGCAUGCUGAGCCCCAAGAUCCGGCAGGCCAGGAGAGCCCGGUCAAGGAGUUUGGUGAUGGGUGAACAGAUUGGGCCUCCCUCCAGACCAUCCUCUCCAAAUCCUCAAGAACGUGUGCUCAAGUGUGGCUGGCUAAAGAAACAAAGGAGCAUUAUGAAGAAUUGGCAGCAGCGGUGGUUUGUGCUGCGUGGGGAUCAGCUCUUCUAUUAUAAGGAUGAAGAGGAGACUAAACCUCAGGGUUUGAUCCUACUGCAAGGCAGUCAGGUGAAUGAGCUGCCUCCUAAUCCUGAUGAACCAGGGAAACAUCUCUUUGAAAUUACCCCAGGUGGUGCAGGGGACCGGGAAAAGAUGCCUGUCAAUCAUGAGGCUUUCCUGCUCAUGGCUAAUUCCCAGAAUGAAAUGGAAGAUUGGGUGAAAGCCAUCCGACGGGUUAUAUGGGCUCCAUUUGGUGGAGGGAUCUUUGGGCAGCGCCUGGAGGACACGGUUCAGUACGAGAGGAAGUAUGGCCAGCGCCUGGCGCCGCUGCUGGUGGAACAGUGUGUGGAUUUUAUUCGGGAGCGAGGCCUCACAGAGGAGGGGCUCUUUCGGAUGCCUGGACAAGCCAACCUUGUCAAAGAUCUGCAGGAUUCUUUUGACUGUGGAGAGAAACCCCUUUUUGACAGCAACACAGAUGUUCACACUGUGGCGUCCCUCCUGAAGCUUUACCUUCGAGAGCUGCCAGAGCCUGUCAUCCCCUUUGCCAAAUACGAAGACUUUCUUUCUUGUGGACAGCUGCUCUCAAAAGAUGAGGGAGAGGGUACUCAGGAACUGGUUAAACAGGUGAAGAAUUUGCCCCAAGCCAACUACAACCUCCUCAAAUACAUAUGCAAGUUCCUUGAUGAAGUUCAGGCUCACUCCAGCAUUAACAAGAUGAGUGUCCAGAACCUGGCUACAGUAUUUGGACCAAACAUACUGCGGCCCAAAUUGGAGGAUCCAGUGACCAUGAUGGAAGGCACCUCGCUGGUUCAGCACCUGAUGACGGUCCUGAUAAGCGAGCAGGGGCGGAUCUUCGCCGUUCCUCAGGCGGAGGUGCCAGGGAGCCAGCUGGAGAUCAGACCCAUGCGCCAGCGCAGCACCGUCGAGUGGAUCUCCGAGGAGGACGGGGAGGACAGCAGGUCACAGCACAGCGCUGCCAGCCCUGCGGAUCUGCCUUCUGGCAGUGCUGUGCCUCUCGAGGCCCCUCCAGGACCUGCAGUGAAAAUCACUCCUCCCGAGCACAGCGGCAAAUCGACUCAGCCCGCCACGAGCCCCAGUAAAAGAGUGCAGACGCUGCCUCCAUGGAAGUAUUCCUUCCGCCAGCAGGGAGCACGGUCCGUGAGCCCGAAGCUGGGCAGCUCGUCCUUAGACAUCCCCAACCUCUCCUCCAGCGGGAACUGGCUGAUGAACGGCCUGUACUCCCUCCGCGGCCACCGCCGGACCGCCUCUGGGGAACGAGUGAAGGACUCGUGCUCCUCCCAGAGACUCUCCACUUACGACAAUGUCCCUUCAUCCAGCCUGUCCCUCAGCACACACAGCAUGGCCAGCACCACCUGGUCCACUUCAUCCUGUGAGAUCUCCGUGAUGGACUCCGUGAGCAGCUGCCCGGCCUGCCGGGCCAGUGACUCUUCGACUUUAAGCUCCCUAAAAACAGAGUGGGUAACUCAGGGCUCGCUGUCUCAGAGCGAGGUGAAGACAGCAGAUCUGGAGAACAGCAUGGACAGGUUUGAAGCCUGCAGCAGCAGCAGCAGCGAACAAAGUGACCCAGCUGCAGCUUCCCGAGACUCUGUCCAGUGCUCCAGGGCCUUACAGAGCUUGGUGGUGGAGCUAAAGACAGAACUGAGCAAACAGAGGACUGAGUAUGAGACUAGUAUCAAAAGAAUUGAAGAAACAAGUGCAGACCUGAGGAACCAAGUGGUUAGAUUAGAAGAAGAACUGGACCAAGAACGAAAGAAAUACACAAUGCUGGAGAUAAAGCUGAGGAAUUCUGAACGUGCUCGUGAAGAUGCUGAGAAGAGAAAUUACCUCCUGCAGAAGGAAAUGGAAGAAUUUUUUUCAACAUUAGGAUGUUUAACUGUUGGGAGUCAAAGUGCUAAAGUCUCCAAGUAGAACAAGUCUCUGAGGGUUUUCUGAGCCAAAAAUCUAGCAGUAGUAGCUGCAAGAAAAAAAAAUAAUCUCCUGAGCUGAUAUAUGUAUUAAGGUAGAAGAUGGAAGAUUCUUAUCAUCACAACACAUCCAAACUUUGAUAGCAAAACAUAUGUUCUUACAGGGAGAUGAGGGGACAGGAAGAAUACUGCAAACAACCCAUCAUCACAACUUGCUUGCUUCUGCUAAGGAAAAAAAUCAUUAGAAUGAAGCUGCUCUACUGCUGCCCUGGAUUCCUUACUGCCCCGGGCCUGAGGCAGGUACCUGCAUGUUCAGCAGCAGCUGCCUGCCACCUGCAGGUUCAGCGGGUGUGAGCAACAUCCUCAUCUUUUUUUCCCACUUCUGCCUUGGAAUCAUUACCAAUGGUCACCAGUGAUCCUUUAAGGAAUAAAAAGGCCCUUUAAAACAGCAGCAUCAGAAGCGUAAUGUGAGAGAGAAGCACUAACAGUGACUCAACUGGAAGAGCACAGUGUGGCAAGUCACCACAAACUAAACCUUAGUACUGGAGGGUGUUCUGAACCAGGUUGUAAGUAGAACACCAGGACUGAUAAAAAGCAACAUUUAAUCCAAGUACUAGUAGCAAGCAGGGCACUUUAAUGCCUUCUUUUAUUUCUACCCAAAACAUAGACACCUUUCACUGUAUCCAUCCUGACAGCCCACAGCUCUCUUACACUAUUUAUAUUGUGUUAUCUCCUGUGUGUAUUGAGUGCAGACUGCUCCCUUUAGUUCACACUACAACCUCAAGAAUUGAGCCCUGACUGAGAGACUAAACACCAAAUACACCAGAUGAGCAGUGAACAAGGACUGCUGGGUAACUCUCCUAAGUAUUUAACCUUAGGUAACUGCUAACCAACCCACCUAUCCCAAACUUGCAGAUAUAGAAUAG
Ficedula albicollis (Collared flycatcher) is the source of this 3240-nucleotide RNA transcript. It is a transcript of the gene named Rho GTPase activating protein 22, with no coding region annotated. Lineage: Eukaryota; Metazoa; Chordata; Aves; Passeriformes; Muscicapidae. The transcript is spliced from 13 exons. The record is from RefSeq and is a predicted model, not a curated record.